Molecule: long non-coding RNA, 396 nt
Organism: Prionailurus viverrinus (fishing cat)
Lineage: Eukaryota; Metazoa; Chordata; Mammalia; Carnivora; Felidae
Exons: 3
Source: RefSeq, a predicted model, not a curated record
GCCUGCCGCUUUAAUGGCUUUCUUGUUUAAUUUGACAGCGGUAGCACCAGCUCUCUGCAGAUGGAAGUAACGGGACAGAUGAAGAAAAGGUCCAGGGAUGAAGUUCAUGUCUCGGUGUAGGGCAGCUGAAAUUGCCAUAGAAAACCUGCUGGCUUUAUGACCAGAGGAAGAGAGGAGCCUGUGGUAGCUACAGCUUAAGGGAAGAAGAGAGAGCCAGAAAAUGGAAGCCCUAGCGAACGUUCAGUGUCAAGUGGCUUCCAGUUCUGCAGAGCACCCUUUCAUCAUGCUGAAAUGCGACUGGCCUCCUGUGUCUUCUCUCCCCAGGCAUUGCUCUUAUUUCACCUGGUUCUUGUCUGUCCCAUUUUGUGCAGUCAUUUCUAGGCUCCUUUGAAAUUU